This 330-nucleotide ribosomal RNA is filed under the name uncultured bacterium. RNAcentral describes it as "bacterial SSU rRNA". It matches the Rfam family "Bacterial small subunit ribosomal RNA", at positions 568 to 898 of the family's 1533-position model. The record is from RNAcentral.
UGCGCAGGCGGUGAGUUAAGUCUGAUGUGAAAGCCCCGGGCUCAACCUGGGAAUGGCAUUGGAAACUGGCUCGCUGGAGUGUGGCAGAGGGGGGUGGAAUUCCGCGUGUAGCAGUGAAAUGCGUAGAGAUGCGGAGGAACACCGAUGGCGAAGGCAGCCCCCUGGGCCAACACUGACGCUCAGGCACGAAAGCGUGGGGAGCAAACAGGAUUAGAUACCCUGGUAGUCCACGCCCUAAACGAUGGCAACUGGGUGUUGGGGAAGCGAUUCCUUGGUACCGUAGCUAACGCGUGAAGUUGCCCGCCUGGGGAGUACGGCCGCAAGGUUAAA